GACGAACGCUAGCGGCGUGCUUAACACAUGCAAGUCGAGCGGUAAGGCCCUUCGGGGUACACGAGCGGCGAACGGGUGAGUAACACGUGGGUGAUCUGCCUUGCACUUCGGGAUAAGCCUGGGAAACUGGGUCUAAUACCGGAUAUGACCUCGGGUUGCAUGGUCUUUGGUGGAAAGAUUUAUCGGUGCGAGAUGGGCCCGCGGCCUAUCAGCUUGUUGGUGAGGUAACGGCUCACCAAGGCGACGACGGGUAGCCGACCUGAGAGGGUGACCGGCCACACUGGGACUGAGACACGGCCCAGACUCCUACGGGAGGCAGCAGUGGGGAAUAUUGCACAAUGGGCGAAAGCCUGAUGCAGCGACGCCGCGUGCGGGAUGACGGCCUUCGGGUUGUAAACCGCUUUUGACAGGGACGAAGCGUAAGUGACUGUACCUGUAGAAUAAGGACCGGCCAACUACGUG
This 462-nucleotide ribosomal RNA is filed under the name Nocardia ignorata. RNAcentral's name for it is "bacterial SSU rRNA". It matches the Rfam family "Bacterial small subunit ribosomal RNA", at positions 28 to 507 of the family's 1533-position model. The record is from RNAcentral. Lineage: Bacteria; Bacillati; Actinomycetota; Actinomycetes; Mycobacteriales; Nocardiaceae.